AGCGAACGCUGGCGGCAGGCCUAACACAUGCAAGUCGAACGAACCUUUCGGGGUUAGUGUCGGACGGGUGAGCAACAGGGUGGAACGUGCCUUUAGGCUCGGACUGACUCAGGGGAACGCGUGCUAAAACCGGAUGUGCUCUUCGGGGCGAAGAUUUAUAGGCUUUAGAGGGGCUCGCGACUGCUUAGCUAGGUGGCUGCGGUAGUGGCGUACCAAGGCGACGAUCAGUAACUGGUCUGAGAGGAUGGUCCGCCACAUUGGCAGUGAGACGCGGCGCAGACUCCUACGGGAGGCAGCAGUGGGGAAUCUUGCGCAAUGGGCGGAAGCAUGACGCAGCCAUGCCGCGAGAAUGAUGAAGGUCUGAGGAUUGUAAAAUUCUUUCACCGGGGACGAUAAUGACGGUACCCGGAGAAGAAGCCCCGGCUAACCUCGUG
This 434-nucleotide ribosomal RNA is filed under the name uncultured bacterium. RNAcentral's name for it is "partial 16S ribosomal RNA". It matches the Rfam family "Bacterial small subunit ribosomal RNA", at positions 29 to 507 of the family's 1533-position model. The record is from RNAcentral.